AUUUUUUCGCCGCCGGGUGAAGAAUGCGUAAGGAACGCUGGGUUUCGUAUCGUUAGGCCUUUGAAGAUACGAGAUUUCAGCGUUUUUCUGUU
Molecule: non-coding RNA, 92 nt
Filed under: unclassified sequences
Source: RNAcentral